RNAcentral lists this ribosomal RNA (119 nucleotides) under Pteropus alecto (black flying fox). The record is from RNAcentral. Lineage: Eukaryota; Metazoa; Chordata; Mammalia; Chiroptera; Pteropodidae.
AUCUACGGCCAUGCCACCCUGAACAAGCCCGAGCCCGUUUGAUCUCAGAAGCUAAGCAGGGUUGGGCCUGGUUAGUACUUGGAUGAGAGACCACCUAGGAAGACCAGGUGCUGUAGGCA